CAGAAUAGGAGGAACAAUACGUGUCAUAUUUUUUAAUGAACAUUUAAAGAUACAGAGAGCCUCAGGGGACACACUUUGUACCAACGUUCAGAGAAUGAUGCUUGGAACUAUGGUGCCCAUCUAUAAAGCCACCUAUGGGCAUGCCAGUGGAGGACACCACCCUCAGACUGUAAGCACUGAUGCAAUCACCCACUUACUCAGCAGAGAAAAGGACAAAGGACAAAUCAAGAAGGCAUGAGACACCAUAAUCAAUUCCUCCUGGUCUGCUACUGAUCACAGGCCCUGGUCUAAGGCAGCAUGGUGGAGGUAAAAGCAUAGUCUGUGGAAAAACAGACAAAUCUGGAUUUAAUCACCACCUGUGUGACCUUCAGCAAGUUACCUCCUCUGUGCCUCAGUUUCCUCACUUGUGAAAUGAAUACCUCUUCUUCAAGUUGGGAUGAAGUUUAAAUGACAAGGGAAAUAUGAAAUCCACAUGAUACUGGCCAUGAAGGGAUCAAGCAAGAUGCCUUGUCUGACUAUUUCCUGAGGGUGCUAUAAUGAAGUUUCCAUAAUGUUCAUCUUUCUGCCCAACUGGAGAGCUAUUCUCAACUCAGACUCUCAGCUGGAAAGGAAUCUACUCAUGUCCUCAUGUUGAGAUCUUUAAAGUGCUUCUCCCAUAUCCACAGUAUGCAGAAAACAUGGAAUCUCAUUAGUGUAUUAUGAUCAAAACAAAGAAAGGACAGGCACAGAGUACCCAGGUAAGAGGGACAAAAAGAAGUGGCAUCUCACGGCUUCAUCCAACAUUUGCAGAGUACACAGGAGAGAAGCAAAGUUUCCCAGAGAAAUCAUUUAAUAACAUUUGGGCCUCAAGGACUAUAUUCUUUCUUUCUGUAAGAGUAAUAAGAAUUAAGGACAAGAGAGCUCACGUAAGAAAAGCAGUUUGCAAUAGAAACUAGCCUAUGGGGGAUAAGAACAUCACUGAACAGGAUCCAAAAUUGAUCAAACCUGUUAUUAAAGCCACACCAAUUAAGGGCCAUCCCCAAUUUAUUUGUGUGUAUUUUUCGUGAGAAGAAAUGAGGAAUUAAUAUCAGACCCCACUGCAGCCUUUGUAAUCUGUUUUAAG
Molecule: long non-coding RNA, 1102 nt
Filed under: Homo sapiens (human)
Lineage: Eukaryota; Metazoa; Chordata; Mammalia; Primates; Hominidae
Description: PREDICTED lncRNA (TCONS_00045002)
Source: RNAcentral